Molecule: transfer RNA, 66 nt
Filed under: Urocitellus parryii (Arctic ground squirrel)
Lineage: Eukaryota; Metazoa; Chordata; Mammalia; Rodentia; Sciuridae
Also listed under: 1 other name
Description: Spermophilus parryii (Arctic ground squirrel) tRNA
Rfam family: tRNA
About the family: Transfer RNA (tRNA) molecules are approximately 80 nucleotides in length. Their secondary structure includes four short double-helical elements and three loops (D, anti-codon, and T loops). Further hydrogen bonds mediate the characteristic L-shaped molecular structure. tRNAs have two regions of fundamental functional importance: the anti-codon, which is responsible for specific mRNA codon recognition, and the 3' end, to which the tRNAs corresponding amino acid is attached (by aminoacyl-tRNA synthetases). tRNAs cope with the degeneracy of the genetic code in two manners: having more than one tRNA (with a specific anti-codon) for a particular amino acid; and 'wobble' base-pairing, i.e. permitting non-standard base-pairing at the 3rd anti-codon position.
Source: Rfam by way of RNAcentral
GGUAUAGUUCAGUUGGUAGAGUGCUUGUCUGGCAAGCAUAAGGCCCUGGGUUCAAUCCCCAGCACC